Molecule: long non-coding RNA, 1449 nt
Organism: Cyprinus carpio (common carp)
Lineage: Eukaryota; Metazoa; Chordata; Actinopteri; Cypriniformes; Cyprinidae
Source: Ensembl
GAGAACACCACGGACUGCCUUUAAAUUUCCAAUCUCCAUUCAAAUGUCUCUGUUAAAACUGGUCUUCCAGCUUGCGUUAAUGGAAGGCAAUCGAUUGUCAUUUAACAAGCCAGCAAAUAAAAAAUAUUAUGGGAAUUCAAGGAACAUAGACAGAGAUGUCACAAUUCUGAUCUGGCUGUAGUUGCGUCGCUCUAGCUGCUUUUAUCCUGCACGGCACCAGAGGAAUAGCUUGUGUUUAAUGGAGCUCAUCUGUUGAGAGAGAUGAUAACAUCUGUGAUAACCAAACUCGCUGCUCAGCGAUUAUAAAGACCACAUGUGAAUCUGAUGCACCAAGCCCAAAAACGGUUUGAAAUUGUGUUAAUUUGUGGUGGCAGCAUGCAAACAGGAACUCUCCCCAAGCUCACAUGCUGCAGCGAAGGAUAAGACUGCACAUAUUCCCCCUCCAUUAAACUUGCAAAAUCAAUGCAUGCUAAUAUACAAAUGAUUAAUUAAGAUAUCCACUUAUUAAGGACCGUUCUCUUCAUCGGUGCAGUCUCUAGGUCUUUUGCUGGUGAGGCAUCUCCCUGCUGCUGUUUUAAAGAUUACAUUGAUCCACACUUCAUUUAUGCCAAGAAGCACUGCUGCAGUGAAGCUUUUGCACUGGCGUCCAUCUGAAUCUACUGUAUGCGAGUCGAGGGCUGCAUGCUGACUCUCCAGGAGGGAUAUGCCGGAUCUGCACUGAGUGCAAACGUGAUGACAUGGAAGGGAGUUGGAGCUCCAAGUAUAAAACUCCAGCAGGCGCACAAACCCACGCAGCGCGCGGAGUGAAGGACUGCACCACUGCUGCUCUUUUGCCGAAUCCACCCUUCAUCAUCAUACUCAUUAUUCAGCAUGAGUGAGGUGAGCUUUCCUCAUAUACUAUAACCCUCGGUGCACGAUGCAUCACUCUACUGUAACGAGCUAAUGGGGUUUCCCUAGGAGGAAAUUAUCUUUCAGUGUUGGGGAGACAUACAAUGCUACAUUAAGACAGUGCCUUGAACUUGCAUUGAUUGCAGUCUAAUAUUUCCCCGUCUGCGGAGUUUGCGCACAUGCUUUCUUAACUACAACCGCAAAAAAAAAAAAAAAAAAAAAAAAAUCGUUUUAAAAACUGAAAUGGCAUCCAUUUAUAAGAACAGCAUGCUUUGUACAUCUUAGACGAGCGCGACGGAUUGGGAAUAUUGUUCUGUUGCAUCUGCGCGCGCAGGCAGAUUGUCGAAUCAGCAUUAUCCACGCUUUGAUUAAUGAUGCAACAAAUGACUGCUGUCAGUUAAGAUUUAACACUAACCUGGGAUCACACUGACGUUUGAUGAUAAGCGGCUGAAUAUGCUCUCAUGAUCUUUAAGUCGAAUUAGUCGUAUUUUGAUGCACCAAAUGCUUUUAAUAAUGUUUGCAUAAAAUAAAAUGUAUAAAUAAGUAUUUAGAAUUCGUUGG